UGGGGAAUCUUGCGCAAUGGGCGAAAGCCUGACGCAGCGACGCCGCGUGGGUGAUGAAGGCCUUCGGGUCGUAAAGCCCUUUCGACCGGGAAGAACGACCCGCGGUGAACAGCCGUGGGGAGUGACGGUACCGGAAGAAGAAGCACCGGCUAACUACGUGCCAGCAGCCGCGGUAAUACGUAGGGCGCGAGCGUUGUCCGGAAUUAUUGGGCGUAAAGAGCUCGUAGGCGGCUUGUCACGUCGGAUGUGAAAGCCCGGGGCUUAACCCCGGGUCUGCAUUCGAUACGGGCUAGCUAGAGUGUGGUAGGGGAGAUCGGAAUUCCUGGUGUAGCGGUGAAAUGCGCAGAUAUCAGGAGGAACACCGGUGGCGAAGGCGGAUCUCUGGGCCAUUACUGACGCUGAGGAGCGAAAGCGUGGGGAGCGAACAGGAUUAGAUACC
This 439-nucleotide ribosomal RNA is filed under the name uncultured bacterium. RNAcentral describes it as "bacterial SSU rRNA". It matches the Rfam family "Bacterial small subunit ribosomal RNA", at positions 355 to 786 of the family's 1533-position model. The record is from RNAcentral.